Molecule: ribosomal RNA, 750 nt
Filed under: uncultured bacterium
Lineage: Bacteria
Description: bacterial SSU rRNA
Rfam family: Bacterial small subunit ribosomal RNA
Source: RNAcentral
GAUGAAAGUGGGGGAUCGCAAGACCUCAUGCUCGUGGAGCGGCCGAUAUCUGAUUAGCUAGUUGGUAGGGUAAAAGCCUACCAAGGCAUCGAUCAGUAGCUGGUCUGAGAGGACGACCAGCCACACUGGAACUGAGACACGGUCCAGACUCCUACGGGAGGCAGCAGUGGGGAAUUUUGGACAAUGGGCGAAAGCCUGAUCCAGCAAUGCCGCGUGAGUGAAGAAGGCCUUCGGGUUGUAAAGCUCUUUUGUCAGGGAAAAACGGUGAAAGCUAAUAUCUUUUGCUAAUGACGGUACCUGAAGAAUAAGCACCGGCUAACUACGUGCCAGCAGCCGCGGUAAUACGUAGGGUGCAAGCGUUAAUCGGAAUUACUGGGCGUAAAGCGUGCGCAGGCGGUUUUGUAAGUCUGAUGUGAAAUCCCCGGGCUCAACCUGGGAAUUGCAUUGGAGACUGCAAGGCUAGAAUCUGGCAGAGGGGGGUAGAAUUCCACGUGUAGCAGUGAAAUGCGUAGAUAUGUGGAGGAACACCGAUGGCGAAGGCAGCCCCCUGGGUCAAGAUUGACGCUCAUGCACGAAAGCGUGGGGAGCAAACAGGAUUAGAUACCCUGGUAGUCCACGCCCUAAACGAUGUCUACUAGUUGUCGGGUCUUAAUUGACUUGGUAACGCAGCUAACGCGUGAAGUAGACCGCCUGGGGAGUACGGUCGCAAGAUUAAAACUCAAAGGAAUUGACGGGGACCCGCACAAGCGG